UUACUUAAUAAAUGCCUGGAACAGAAC
RNAcentral lists this small RNA (27 nucleotides) under Bombyx mori (domestic silkworm). RNAcentral describes it as "ovarian small RNA-36658". Lineage: Eukaryota; Metazoa; Arthropoda; Insecta; Lepidoptera; Bombycidae. The record is from RNAcentral.